RNAcentral lists this ribosomal RNA (405 nucleotides) under uncultured bacterium. RNAcentral describes it as "partial 16S ribosomal RNA". It matches the Rfam family "Bacterial small subunit ribosomal RNA", at positions 28 to 526 of the family's 1533-position model. The record is from RNAcentral.
GAUGAACGCUGGCGGCGUGCCUAAUACAUGCAAGUCGAGCGAAGCGGGGACGGGUGAGUCACACGUGGAUAACCUCCUAUAAGACUGGGAUAACUUCGGGACACCGUAUCUAACCCGGCUACUUAUCAAUGGCUCCGCGCUGCAUUAGCUAGUUGGUCAGGUAACGGCUUACAAAGGCAACUAGGCAUAGCCGACCUGCGAGGGUGAUCGGCCACACUGGAACUGAGACACGGUCCAGACUCCUACGGGAGGAAGCAGUAGGGAAUCUUCCGCAAGGGGCGAAAGCCGGACGGAGAAACGCCGCGUGAGUGAUGAAGGUCUUCGGAUCGUAAAACGCUGUUAGUAGGGAAGCGGUACAUAAUCAGAAAGCCAAGGCUAACUACGUGCCAGCAGCCGCGGUAAGAC